AGUACGUUCGGGAGCAAGAGAUUGUUCGUUCUGAAUAUCAGCGAGCAAUGGAGAGUGUAUUUUGACAUUGGUGUUGGCGAUAAUAUUGACUUCAGGAAUAAUAGGGAACAAAGUAUCCUCUGUAGAGGUGGUAGGUUCGUGCUGACGUGACAAAGCGUCUGCCUUAGUGUUCUUAGAACCAGGCCUGUAAGUAAGCACAUAAUUAAAGUGUGUAAGGAACAUAGACCAACGUGCCUGCCUGGCAGAUAAUCUUUUGGCCUCCCCCAUAUACGAUAAAUUUUUGUGGUCAGUCAAGAUAGUAACUGGGAGGACGGUGCCCUCUAACAAAUGUCUCCAUUCCUUUA
This is a non-coding RNA of Pelobates cultripes (western spadefoot toad), 344 nucleotides long. Lineage: Eukaryota; Metazoa; Chordata; Amphibia; Anura; Pelobatidae. The record is from the annotation of a GenBank genome assembly.